Non-coding RNA from Maylandia zebra (zebra mbuna), 575 nucleotides. NCBI's taxonomy places the organism in Eukaryota, Metazoa, Chordata, Actinopteri, Cichliformes, Cichlidae. The record is from RefSeq and is a predicted model, not a curated record.
UCCUUACAUGUGCUCCUUCAGGAGUUGAUGGCGACUACUUCAGACUUCUGUUGCCAGGCACUUACACUGUAACAGCCUCUGCACCCGGUUACCUCCCUUUCACCAGCACUGUCACAGUGGGACCAGCUGAGGCCAUACAGCUUCAUUUUUACUUGAAACCAGCACCAAAACAAAACCUGAAGGUGAAGCCGCACCACGGCAGGAGGAACCUCUCAUCUCCUAAAGCUCCCUUGAAGCUUGGCCCAAGAUGAGGCACGGACAAUCAUUUAGAGGGCACACAGUCAUAAACAAAUACACAGAAGAGCUCGUACAAAAAACAUACACAUGCAUACGCAUAUGAAUUAUGUAAAUGAUACACAACCUUAACAUACCUUUGUAGUCCUAGCGUCUAUUUCCUUUUUGGGUUUUGUUUUUCUGUAUCAAGAAACUGUUGAAAGGCUGGUGUAUUUAUCCAACAGUUUUAAUUUGUAUGAACACAGCUAGCCUGUAUUUGUAAAGGAUAUUUUUUUGGUUUUGAUUACAAUAAUUUGAUGGUAAGUGAAAAUGAAAUUAAAGAAAUGUUUUUACCAUCUGUA